Non-coding RNA from Mycena capillaripes, 83 nucleotides. Lineage: Eukaryota; Fungi; Basidiomycota; Agaricomycetes; Agaricales; Mycenaceae. The record is from the annotation of a GenBank genome assembly.
GUCCCAAUGGCACAGCGGUUAGUGUGCCUGCUACAGAUGCGUAUGCCCAACAGGACGCCCUCGUUCGACUCGGGGUUGGGUCA